AGCCCCGUCGUCUAGCGGCCAAGGAUAGUGGCCUUUGGAGCCAUUGACCCAGGAACAUAAAAUGUUUGGGAAUUCAAAUCCUGGCGGGGCUA
This 92-nucleotide transfer RNA is filed under the name Candidatus Woesearchaeota archaeon. RNAcentral's name for it is "tRNA-Gln". It matches the Rfam family "tRNA". Rfam says of the family: Transfer RNA (tRNA) molecules are approximately 80 nucleotides in length. Their secondary structure includes four short double-helical elements and three loops (D, anti-codon, and T loops). Lineage: Archaea; Nanobdellati; Candidatus Woesearchaeota. The record is from RNAcentral.